UGGGGAAUAUUGCACAAUGGGCGCAAGCCUGAUGCAGCCAUGCCGCGUGUAUGAAGAAGGCCUUCGGGUUGUAAAGUACUUUCAGCGAGGAGGAAGGCGUUGUGGUUAAUAACCGCAGCGAUUGACGUUACUCGCAGAAGAAGCACCGGCUAACUCCGUGCCAGCAGCCGCGGUAAUACGGAGGGUGCAAGCGUUAAUCGGAAUUACUGGGCGUAAAGCGCACGCAGGCGGUCUGUCAAGUCGGAUGUGAAAUCCCCGGGCUCAACCUGGGAACUGCAUCCGAAACUGGCAGGCUAGAGUCUUGUAGAGGGGGGUAGAAUUCCAGGUGUAGCGGUGAAAUGCGUAGAGAUCUGGAGGAAUACCGUUGGCGAAGGCGGCCCCCUGGACAAAGACUGACGCUCAGGUUCGAAAGCGUGGGGAGCAAACA
RNAcentral lists this ribosomal RNA (427 nucleotides) under uncultured bacterium. RNAcentral's name for it is "partial 16S ribosomal RNA". It matches the Rfam family "Bacterial small subunit ribosomal RNA", at positions 355 to 774 of the family's 1533-position model. The record is from RNAcentral.